CGCAUCUGUGCAUGCAGUAUAUCAAUAAGCGGAGGAAAAGAAACUAACAAGGAUUCCCCUAGUAACGGCGAGUGAAGCGGGAAGAGCUCAAAUUUGAAAUCUUAAAGGGUUUCCCUUUACGAAUUGUAGUUUAAAGAAGUGUUUUCUGUUGAGGAUUUUGGUAAAAGUUCUUUGGAAUAGGACAUCAUAGAGGGUGAGAAUCCCGUAUUUGACCUUUACUUUCAACUUUGUGAUACACUUUCAAAGAGUCGGAUUGUUUGGGAAUGCAGUCCAAAAUGGGUGGUAAAUUUCAUCUAAAGCUAAAUAUUGGCGAGAGACCGAUAGCGAACAAGUACCGUGAGGGAAAGAUGAAAAGAACCUUGAAAAGAGAGUUAAACAGUACGUGAAAUUGUCAAAAGGGAAGCGUUUGACACCAGUGUUGUUUUUCUGAAAAUCAAUUAAAGAACUGUUUAUGCUAAGUUGUUUAGACUUUAUCAGCUAAUCUGUUUAGUUUUGAGCUUUUCUUUAAUGCACUUUUCAGUUAACAAGUCAACAUCAAUUUCUUUUGCUGUAAAAAAGCUUGAGGAAGGGUGGCUUGAGAUUCGUCUUAAGUGUUUAUAGCCUCUUGCCUAUGCAGUCGGAGAGAUUGAGGUCUGCAGCGUAGAUCCUUCGGGGCUAAAUGCAUUUGUGCUAAGUUAUAGCAUUUUAUAGACAACUUGUUGACUAUGAUUUGUCUUGUAGCUUACUCGCUUAUGUUAUUUUACCUACGCUUAGGAUGUUGAAUCUGUGCGAGACUAC
This 777-nucleotide ribosomal RNA is filed under the name uncultured Neocallimastigales. RNAcentral describes it as "partial large subunit ribosomal RNA". It matches the Rfam family "Eukaryotic large subunit ribosomal RNA", at positions 26 to 644 of the family's 3401-position model. The record is from RNAcentral. Lineage: Eukaryota; Fungi; Neocallimastigomycota; Neocallimastigomycetes; Neocallimastigales.